GCGUUCAGGGCGCAGCCUGAUCCAGCCAUGCCGCGUGAGUGAAGAAGGCCUUCGGGUUGUAAAGCUCUUUCACUCGGAAAGAAAAAAUCCCGACUAAUACUCGGGAUUCAUGACGGUACCUACAGAAGAAGCACCGGCUAACUACGUGCCAGCGCCGCGGUAAUAAA
Molecule: ribosomal RNA, 167 nt
Filed under: uncultured ammonia-oxidizing bacterium
Lineage: Bacteria
Description: partial 16S ribosomal RNA
Rfam family: Bacterial small subunit ribosomal RNA
Source: RNAcentral